GACACGGUAGCUCAGUGGUGAAGUGUGCUCGACUUGGGAUUGAAAGGUCUUUAGUUCAAGUCCUAGCCAUGGCU
Molecule: non-coding RNA, 74 nt
Organism: Gymnothorax javanicus (giant moray)
Lineage: Eukaryota; Metazoa; Chordata; Actinopteri; Anguilliformes; Muraenidae
Source: the annotation of a GenBank genome assembly